GGUGGUGGUGGCGGCUGCGGCGGCGGUGGGGGAAGAUGGUGAGGUUGGCGGAGAUGAAGAAUAGAUGCUGGUACUUUGUUCUGACAUUGUUGAAGGAUACUGCAGUAGGAGAUGAUUCUUGAAAAGAAGACGCUGGUAUUAGCAAUUUAGCAGAGAGAAAGGAAGAGGACAACGAGGAAGAUGAGAAUUAUUAAUGGGUAUUUGUAGGAAAGGGCAAAGGAAGGAUACGCUCCUUUAUAGUGACUUUCGACCUACCAUGAAUAUUUCCAUUGACGAAGAC
RNAcentral lists this unclassified non-coding RNA (280 nucleotides) under Hevea brasiliensis (rubber tree). The record is from RNAcentral. Lineage: Eukaryota; Viridiplantae; Streptophyta; Magnoliopsida; Malpighiales; Euphorbiaceae.